CCUACGGGUGGCAGCAGUCGAGAAUCAUUCACAAUGGGGGAAACCCUGAUGGUGCGACGCCGCGUGGGGGAAUGAAGGUCUUCGGAUUGUAAACCCCUGUCAUGUGGGAGCAAAUUAAAAAGAUAGUACCACAAGAGGAAGAGACGGCUAACUCUGUGCCAGCAGCCGCGGGAAUACAGAGGUCUCAAGCGUUGUUCGGAAUCACUGGGCGUAAAGCGUGCGUAGGCUGUUUCGUAAGUCGUGUGUGAAAGGCGCGGGCUCAACCCGCGGACGGCACAUGAUACUGCGAGACUAGAGUAAUGGAGGGGGAACCGGAAGUCUCGGUGUAGCAGUGAAAUGCGUAGAUAUCGAGAGGAACACUCGUGGCGAAGGCGGGUUCCUGGACAUUAACUGACGCUGAGGCACGAAGGCCAGGGGAGCGAAAGGGAUUAGAUACCCCUGUAGUC
This 446-nucleotide ribosomal RNA is filed under the name uncultured bacterium. RNAcentral describes it as "partial 16S ribosomal RNA". It matches the Rfam family "Bacterial small subunit ribosomal RNA", at positions 338 to 795 of the family's 1533-position model. The record is from RNAcentral.